UUUACGCAGGGUUUACAUUCUUUCCGCUUUGAUCUUGAGCGCAGCCGCGAGCACCUUCCGGGCCCCUGCGCCUCGCCUGGGCCUCAGGGCCCCCAGCCGUCCCAGCCCGCCACCCCCACUCCUGCCCGGGGACAUAGGUCCGGCUUGCCGUGUAACAGGGCAGCUGGCCCCGGAAAGAUCCAGCCCUAGAGCCCCACCGAAGUGCUGGAGAGCGGCUAGAACCCUCUUCCGGUUCGAGGAGCCAGUGAGCACCGCGGGUUUUGUUCCAGAGUUACUUGGGAGACCACCUGCCUCAAAUCCUUCUGACUCAUUCCUGUAAAACACGUGAUGCUCCCAGUCAGAGGGCGAGAUGUGACCUGCUAUCUUGUUCUCCAGAGAAGCUAACGAAAACAUGGAGACUCAUGGACAUGUCUAGGUGUUGAAUCUCCUAGAUCCUGCUUUAUCAGAGAGCUGUGGAGAGUACAGUGCCAUCCUGUGUGAUGGGCCCUCCAUCACGUGCUUUUUUACCCUGAAGAAUGAAGUGCAGAGGAUGGUGAGCACUAUGGAGGAGGAGAAGAAUAACAGAAUGAACCCAAAUAGUGAAGCACACAGGAAAGACAUGUCAGCCAAUUCACAACUGACAUAUUUAUACAAAUAUUGGGCAGAAAUUUCCAACUUUCGAAAAAGCAAAACUAUGGUACCGUUGUCCAAGGAAAGAUGUAAGCAAUGAGAGGCUUUGAUGGGCUGGAGCUGUUAUAAUGACUUUGGCGCUGGGCCACUUCCUCAUCUGUGACAUUUAUCAUGCAGCAAUAUGCGGGAUCUUGAUUGGAAGCUCAUGCUGUGAAAUACAAUGAAUGUAAUAUCUAGAAAACAAGGGAGAACAGAUGUAGCUGGGUUGUAUAAUCCAGCAUGACACUCAUUAUCCUUAUGAAAGGAAUAACUAUCAAGCUUGAAAGACGGAAAAUAGAUGCAGCCAAGAUGGCCAGAAUUCUGCCUAGUUUUAAAAGAUGCCUGUAAUUUCUGUACCUGGGAAUAGUCAUUAUGAAGCAGGAUGUCAUUAUGCCAAUUCUUGUACCACGCAAGCAUCCCUUAUAAUAGGUGUGCAGCCUGACUUUUUCCUCUGUGGAGAUGUUUAAUUUUGCUCAAAUGAUAUUUCAUGGGCAGCAAACAAAAGUUAGAGCAGGAUGAGGGGGUCAGGAAAUGGUUUUUCACAGACACAGACUCUUAUUUUCAUUAUCUUACCUUAGUGACAAUGGCAAUAUAAUAUACAAAUUCUUAUGAGUAGGGGAGAGUGGAAGACCUGCAAAAGAAUGGGUCUUUAUUUACAAGGUAUUUACACUAUUUAGAAACUGACCUUUUUUCUUUAUUUCUAAUUUUGGGAAGAUGUUGUCAGACUUGAACAAUUCAAAUAAGGUGCUGAAGUCACGUUGAUGUAACAGUUCCAUUUCUAAGCUCUUUAACUCUUUGGUGUUUGAAUAUAUAAAACCUUUGUGGUAUUUUAAUAUAAAAGAAUAAUUUUGUUUCUCUCAGUAAAAUAUUUUCAUUGUGAAAAGUUACCAGUGUUUGGAGUUUCCUCUUUUGGCUAUUGCUGUAGGAGUCAGAUUCCAGACAGAGAGAUUCUGGUGACUGAAGGAAAAGGAGUCCCCAUAUCACAAAUUUGGUUAAAACUCUAAAUAACAGAAGAAUCUUUAAUGCUUUCCUCUCUGAAACAAACCUGGAAUCUUUUGUAGAUAUUCAGUAUCAAAUUUUAUUUGUCUUAUGCUAGAAUCCUGACUUUCCUUCAUUACAAUGUUUAUCUAACGCUUCAGAUGUAUAUUUUAUCCUGUUUACAGUAAUGCCCUUAGUUUCAGUGUACAUAUUUGAAUCUCUUAUCAAAAAUAUAUUUAAGCUCAUUU
This is a long non-coding RNA of Hyaena hyaena (striped hyena), 1874 nucleotides long. RefSeq lists it as uncharacterized. The record is from RefSeq and is a predicted model, not a curated record. The transcript has 3 exons. Lineage: Eukaryota; Metazoa; Chordata; Mammalia; Carnivora; Hyaenidae.